Molecule: non-coding RNA, 248 nt
Filed under: Ruminococcus sp.
Lineage: Bacteria; Bacillati; Bacillota; Clostridia; Eubacteriales; Oscillospiraceae
Description: T-box sequence
Rfam family: T-box leader
About the family: Uncharged tRNA acts as the effector for transcription antitermination of genes in the T-box leader family. T-boxes are found upstream of many aminoacyl-tRNA synthetase genes and some amino acid biosynthetic genes usually in Gram-positive bacteria.
Source: RNAcentral
GAAAAUACGAAGAAAAGAAGUAGUAGGCAGCAUGGAAUGUGACAGAGAGUCCCGGAAGGUGGAAUGGGAUACAGAAAGUGUUACCGAAUUCCUCUUGGAGUAGAGUGCUGAACGUAUUGACCAGUAGGCAUUUCCGGCAGCAGCCGUUAUCUGCGAGGGUAUAUCUGGAGACAGCGUACCUGGUGAGGCAGUCAUCGCGAGAUGACUGUGAAGUGAGGUGGAACCACGAUGAUUGUAUCGUCCUCUGA